Molecule: long non-coding RNA, 1520 nt
Filed under: Bos indicus x Bos taurus (hybrid cattle)
Lineage: Eukaryota; Metazoa; Chordata; Mammalia; Artiodactyla; Bovidae
Description: lncRNA (ENSBIXG00005005963.1)
Source: RNAcentral
AGCCGUUAAACCAUGCAUCACUCUUCGUGGCUGGCUGACUGACCAGCGCGUCACCCAUUUUCCCGUCCAUCCCUUCCUCCUCUGCAUCUUUCUCCCCCUCCCCACCCUGCCUCGUUCUUCCAUCACCCCUCCCUCCAUCCUUCGGUCUGUCCAUACAUCCAUCCGUCCAUCCAUCCUCUCCAUUAUUCCAGUAAAAACUCAAGCCGGCCUGCCAGUGUUGCUAGAACUGUUCAGACACUUGGAGAGAGGCAGAGAAAGAAGAUAACAAAACAGGGCAGGGAAAAGAAAAAUGGAAGAAGAAAUAAAGAAAAGAUAAGUGAAUUUACUCCAGUUAUUUUAUUAGAAAUUUUACUAUGAUGCAUAGCAUAGCAGUAAAAAUCAAUGAGCAAAGAUCAGAUGGUCCAAAAGAUAGCUCUUCAUAUUUGUGAAAUAAAUCUAAGCUUGUUUUGUUUGUUGUUUAAUCGCUAAGUCAGGUCCGACACUGCGACCCCAUGGACUCUGACCCCAGGCUCCUCUGUCUGUGGGAUUUCCCAGGCAGGAAUAUUAGAGUGGGUUGCCAUUUCCUUCUCCAGGGGAUCUUCCCAACCCAGGGAUCGAACCCACUUCUCCUGCACUGGCAGGCGAAUUCUUUACCACUGCGUCAGCAGGGAAUGAUGUAAGCUACAGCUUCCCUGAGAUAACACAGCAGGUGACCGUGGCGCGUUAGAAGGAGCAAGCAGCAGUGCGGACCUGUAGGAACCACUGGCAGAGGUGAGCCGCCCUUGUGUCUGCACAAGGCCCCAGCUGGUGUGCUGGGUGGGGUCUCUGCUGCAACCCCCAGCCUCUCUAGCCGCCCGAGCCCGUCUGGGGAACCAUCGUCUGGGAGGGCAGGGCCGUGUCCCCCCAGCUCUGGGAGUGGACACACCGCCCGCCUGCUCUGCGUGCCCUCCACCCCCAGCCUUGUGCGCGGGUGGCAAACGGUCACGUGACCGAGCCGUGCAAUCUGCUUUCGCCUCGGGCCUUUGUCUGGAGCCGCCAGGAAGGAGAUGAGGGAGGAACCUGGAGUCCAGGAGGGCAUCCUGCGGAGGAGGGGCCGACAAUGGAGGAGUGUCCAGUUACCACCCUGGGCAGGCAACUUCCCCAUCACACCUCUGCUCUGAGCUCCUGGAGAAAAGCAACUUCCUUAUUUCCUGUGCCGACAGCAGGAGGCUCUGGGGGACGCGUCUGAGGGCUUUCUGGGGUGGUGAGCUAGGGGUAGGGGGACUAGAGGGCAUGUAUUAAAGCACCUUCGAGCCUUUGAACACAGCUGCAUCUUCAAAGGCACCUGCCGAGGAUCAGGGGCCCAGAACAACCACAGCUUCCCGCCGAGGAGAGAAACCCUCUUUGUACUAAAAUCUACGGAGGCAGUUUCUGUGCGCCCCAAGGUGUUUCUUUCGGUGGUCCUCCUAAGUCUGGCUCUAGGAUGUCUGUUUUGUGUAAUAGAUGAUAGAUUCCCCAAAGUUAAAAAUAAAUCUAGCCUUGAUCCGUUAAAAGAGGGAAUU